CCUCUGGGGAUUCUUUUAAAAACUGAAUUAUGUCAUACAUCUGUAUCGUUAAAAUAUAUAACAAUACCCGAGUCUUGUCUGUUAGUUCAUGCUUGGCAGCAAAGAGAAUUCGAUGGUAAGAUAUCAUCCCACAUAUGUUCAAUGAUUGGAGACUUUCAAUUAUUUAUGGAAUGUAACUGGGUGCAUCAUGCUGUUGAUUCAAAAGAAGGAUUGAAGCUGACAACAAAACAGGCUUUAAAGAGGGCAUAUAAAAAAGUAGGUACGUUCCCAAAAUUUCACAUUUACUUAGGUGUUGAUUAGGAGGGAAGAAUGUUGAGAUUUGUCAAAACUAUAACAAUUUCAAAGAUUACUUCUAACUCUAAAUGACCGAGCCAUUCUCUAUAGUCUACCGAUGGUUCUAUUAGAAUAGGAACCAUAGCUAGAGUCAAGUUAUUGUAGGCAUUCUUUGGGACCCAAGCUAGCCCUGACUGACCACAACUUUAUUUGAACUAGUCUAGACAUUGACAUGCACACUGAUGUAACACGAACAAGCAUGACACCAGUUGGCCUGAUAUGAACAUUUCUU
This 565-nucleotide long non-coding RNA is filed under the name Phoenix dactylifera (date palm). RNAcentral's name for it is "long non-coding RNA (PDAC_LNC001191)". The record is from RNAcentral. Lineage: Eukaryota; Viridiplantae; Streptophyta; Magnoliopsida; Arecales; Arecaceae.